GCCCUUGGAAGGGAUGUAUUUAUUAGAUUAAAAACCAAUGCCCUUCGGGGCUCACUGGUGAUUCAUGAUAACUCCUCGAAUCGCAUGGCCUUGUGCCGGCGAUGGUUCAUUCAAAUUUCUUCCCUAUCAACUUUCGAUGUUUGGGUAUUGGCCAAACAUGGUUGCAACGGGUAACGGAGGGUUAGGGCUCGACCCCGGAGAAGGAGCCUGGGAAACGGCUACUACAUCCAAGGAAGGCAGCAGGCGCGCAAAUUACCCAAUCCCGACACGGGGAGGUAGUGACAAUAAAUACUGAUACAGGGCUCUUUUGGGUCUUGUAAUUGGAAUGAGUACAAUUUAAAUCCCUUAACGAGGAACAAUUGGAGGGCAAGUCUGGUGCCAGCAGCCGCGGUAAUUCCAGCUCCAAUAGCGUAUAUUAAAGUUGUUGUGGUUAAAAAGCUCGUAGUUGAACCUUGGGCCUGGCUGGCCGGUCCGCCUCACCGCGUGUACUGGUCCGGCCGGGCCUUUCCCUCUGUGGAACCCCAUGCCCUUCACUGGGUGUGGCGGGGAACCAGGACUUUUACAAGGGC
RNAcentral lists this ribosomal RNA (569 nucleotides) under uncultured Pezizomycotina. Its description in RNAcentral is "SSU rRNA". It matches the Rfam family "Eukaryotic small subunit ribosomal RNA", at positions 185 to 761 of the family's 1831-position model. Lineage: Eukaryota; Fungi; Ascomycota. The record is from RNAcentral.